Molecule: long non-coding RNA, 1734 nt
Filed under: Equus caballus (horse)
Lineage: Eukaryota; Metazoa; Chordata; Mammalia; Perissodactyla; Equidae
Description: lncRNA (ENSECAG00000057448.1)
Source: RNAcentral
CGCCCCGACCGGAUGGCUGGUCGCCUUAUGUGGAAGGGACUUGCCUGCUGUUCUCGUGAGCACCACCCCAGCAACACGUCUUCACUGUGGCGGCGGCGGCAGCAGCAGCAGCAGCUGAACCCAGCUUGUAGAUUUCUAACACUCACAGACCCAGUUUCAUCAGAAACAUCAGCGCCAGCCGGCUGGUGCCCCUUCCUCAGCAUCUCUGUUCCUCCAGCUCCAGGAGUGAUGGCUGAUGAGGAUCAAGGCUGCCCCAGGGAGAGAAGCCCAAGGCGUCCUGGGCUACACACCAAUCUAUAUCAUCCUCCGGAAGCACAGGAUGUUUUGACCUAAUUGACCUGAUUCAUAUCCAAAGUUAUAGGACCACCCGAUAGCCAGACCCCACCUGCACUGAUACCAUUUUAACAACUUUUUUACAUGAUCUUUCCUUUGUCCUGUAAAGAAAUAAUUCCCAUAUCUACGCCUUAUAAAUUUAGCCCUACCCUUAACACAUUGCAUCCCUUCCCUGCCCAUGGGUCCUGUCCCCAUGCUACUCUCUGAAUAAAGGACCACUACGACCAGACCUUGAGAGCCCAAAAAUCUUUCUUUCGACUCCUCGGCUCACUGAACCCACAUCAGUAGCUGCUUCCUACAGUUGCUACUUCCAUAGAGCUGUGGUUUUCAGAGGGUGGUCCCCAGACCAGCAGCGUCAGCUGGGAACUUGUUAGAAGUGGAGCAUUCCACGCCCCAUCCCAGACCAGUGGGACUCUUGUGUCAGGCUCAGCAGCCUGUGUUUUAACAAGUGUUCCAGGGAAUUCUGCGAUGUUUAAGAACCGCUGCCUUAGAGUCUCACUUUACCCUUUCAUCAUCUAGAUAACUGUGUACCAAGUUGGCAAUUCCAUAUGUCCUAUAAUUCCACUAUUAUGUUCCAUGUGUUGAAUUCUCUCUGUUAAAGUUACUGGCGUGGUUCUUCUCUCCUCCCUGGACCCCGACGGACCCAGAGCCCACUGCAGUUAUACACGGUAGAGAUGAGGACUCUCCAAGCAGAGCAGUGGGAGUGGGGUGGAGAAGAGCUGACAGACAGAAGCUAUUUGAAAGGUCUUGAUUACUGUUUGGGAGGACGGAGGGGGCCAGGACAGCUCCCGGGUCCCGCCUGGUGGAUUGUGGCGCCCCUUCACAAAAUGCAGGCUCUCUAGGAGGAGGGGUGGCGGGCUGGUGGUGGAGGUGAUCUAUUUGCUUUUGCAUUUGGUGAGGUUCCCACUGAGACACUGAGGGGCAGACAUCCCGUAAGCCAUUGGCUACCGGGUCUUGAGCUGAGGAGAGGGGUCUGCAUAGAGAUGCGGCUUUGGGCACGAUCAGCAUCUAGGUGGCAGCAGAAGCCACGGGCCUGGAUGCGUCUACCCAAGGAGACAAGCAGCACGAGAAGAAGACUCAGAAGGGACAGGCGGUGUGGUGGGAGGAGAGCUGGGAGGGUGAGAAGUUACAGAAAGUGAGGGACAAGGGAGGACCAAGAAGGUGGGUCAAGUGGAGCAGAGAAGCCAAGGAGGUGUAUUAAUCUGGUCUUUUUUUUUUUCUGGAUUCUGAUGCUUUGACACCUGGGGCCUUGCUGAUGCUGCAUGGACUGCCCCUGCCAGGACCCGCCAGUUCCAAAGACAAUAUGCUUGUUUCCUGCAUCACAGAGAAAUUGAAGUCUUCUUUUGAGAAAUCCCUCUAUUUCCUUCCACAAUUCAGAAUAACCCUCACUUUACACCCAUU